GCGGGAGUAGCUCAACUGAUAGAGCGCGACGCUUCCAGCGUUGAGGUGCAGGUGCAAGGCCUGCCUCCUGCU
This 72-nucleotide transfer RNA is filed under the name Gemmatimonadota bacterium. Its description in RNAcentral is "tRNA-Gly". It matches the Rfam family "tRNA". From Rfam's summary of the family: Transfer RNA (tRNA) molecules are approximately 80 nucleotides in length. Their secondary structure includes four short double-helical elements and three loops (D, anti-codon, and T loops). Further hydrogen bonds mediate the characteristic L-shaped molecular structure. tRNAs have two regions of fundamental functional importance: the anti-codon, which is responsible for specific mRNA codon recognition, and the 3' end, to which the tRNAs corresponding amino acid is attached (by aminoacyl-tRNA synthetases). tRNAs cope with the degeneracy of the genetic code in two manners: having more than one tRNA (with a specific anti-codon) for a particular amino acid; and 'wobble' base-pairing, i.e. permitting non-standard base-pairing at the 3rd anti-codon position. The record is from RNAcentral. Lineage: Bacteria; Pseudomonadati; Gemmatimonadota.